Molecule: ribosomal RNA, 367 nt
Filed under: uncultured organism
Description: bacterial SSU rRNA
Rfam family: Bacterial small subunit ribosomal RNA
Source: RNAcentral
CGUAGGUGGCAAGCGUUGUCCGGAUUUAUUGGGUUUAAAGGUGCGUAGGCGGUGAUUUAAGUCAGUGGUGAAAUACCUCAGCUUAACUGGAGAGGUGCCAUUGAUACUGGGUCACUUGAGUACUGAUGAGGUAGGCGGAAUGGACGGUGUAGCGGUGAAAUGCUUAGAUAUCGUCCAGAACACCGAUAGCGAAGGCAGCUUACUAAGGAGUAACUGACGCUGAGGCACGAAAGUGUGGGGAUCAAACAGGAUUAGAUACCCUGGUAGUCCACACUGUAAACGAUGAUCACUCGAUGUUGGCGAUACACAGCCAGCGUCUUAGCAAAAGCGAUAAGUGAUCCACCUGGGGAGUACGCCGGCAACGGUG